GACGAACGCUGGCGGCGUGCCUAAUACAUGCAAGUCGAACGCAGUGGGGACGGGUGAGUAACACGUGGGUAACCUCCCAUCAGAGGGGAUAACACUUGGAAACAGGUGCUAAAACGAUACUGAUGGAUGGAACCGCGGUGCAUUAGCUAGUGGGUGAGGUAACGGCUCAACAAGGCCACGAUGCAUAGCCGACCUGAGAGGGUGAUCGUCCACCUGGGGACUGAGACACUGCCCAUACUCCGACGGGAGGCAGCAGUAGGGAAUCUUCGUCAAUGGACGAAAGUCUGCCCGAGCAACGCCGCGUGAUUGAAGAAGGUUUUCGGUUCGUAAAACUCUGUUGUUAGAGAAGCGGUAUCUAACCAGAAAGCCAAGGCUAACUACGUGCCAGCAGCCGCGGUAAUAC
RNAcentral lists this ribosomal RNA (403 nucleotides) under uncultured bacterium. RNAcentral's name for it is "partial 16S ribosomal RNA". It matches the Rfam family "Bacterial small subunit ribosomal RNA", at positions 28 to 526 of the family's 1533-position model. The record is from RNAcentral.